Hordeum vulgare subsp. vulgare (domesticated barley) is the source of this 136-nucleotide non-coding RNA. NCBI's taxonomy places the organism in Eukaryota, Viridiplantae, Streptophyta, Magnoliopsida, Poales, Poaceae. The record is from Rfam.
CUAAUACUCCCUCCGUUCCAAAAUNNNNNUCUUAGGUUUGUUUAAAAAUGGAUGUAUCUAAAUACUAAAAUGUAACUAGAUACAUUCAUAUCUACACAAAAUCUAAGACAAGAAUUUGGGACAGAGGGAGUAUAUA